This 512-nucleotide ribosomal RNA is filed under the name uncultured bacterium. Its description in RNAcentral is "partial 16S ribosomal RNA". It matches the Rfam family "Bacterial small subunit ribosomal RNA", at positions 355 to 860 of the family's 1533-position model. The record is from RNAcentral.
UGGGGAAUUUUGGACAAUGGGCGAAAGCCUGAUCCAGCAAUGCCGCGUGUGUGAAGAAGGCCUUCGGGUUGUAAAGCACUUUUGUCCGGAAAGAAAUCCUUGGCUCUAAUACAGUCGGGGGAUGACGGUACCGGAAGAAUAAGCACCGGCUAACUACGUGCCAGCAGCCGCGGUAAUACGUAGGGUGCAAGCGUUAAUCGGAAUUACUGGGCGUAAAGCGUGCGCAGGCGGUUUGCUAAGACCGAUGUGAAAUCCCCGGGCUCAACCUGGGAACUGCAUUGGUGACUGGCAGGCUAGAGUAUGGCAGAGGGGGGUAGAAUUCCACGUGUAGCAGUGAAAUGCGUAGAGAUGUGGAGGAAUACCGAUGGCGAAGGCAGCCCCCUGGGCCAAUACUGACGCUCAUGCACGAAAGCGUGGGGAGCAAACAGGAUUAGAUACCCUGGUAGUCCACGCCCUAAACGAUGUCAACUAGUUGUUGGGGAUUCAUUUCCUUAGUAACGUAGCUAACGCGU